GUUUCUGUAGUCUGCACCAGGGAGCCGCACCUCAUCACCACCCGCUGCCACUUUGUUACAGUGGAAAUGAAGACUCACUGGGAACUUCCCCAUUGAAAUAAUGGUGUACUGGCGGGUUGGGGUCUACCUACCUAUGAUCCGCAAUCACCUGAAGGAAAUCCACGCUCUCCUCUGCCUAAUGGUAAAGUCAGAAACUAUUCAAGAAGCAAAAACACAAGCGAGGAUUAGUAUUUAAUUCUUCUCAAUAACAGGCCCUGGGGGUGUUGUCUCAGCACGCAAUAAAAUAUCUGGACAAUACCGUCAGCAAAAGGCUCCCAGCAGUAGGAUAUUACUGCUGCAAUUUCUUCCUGAACAUAGAAAUCUGUCUGGGGACACGAUGUACCAUUGUGUGUCGACAUAAUCUAGAUCUAAUACUCUGAUCAGCAUAUACUGUUCGCUUCAA
Long non-coding RNA from Hyla sarda, 442 nucleotides. RefSeq lists it as uncharacterized. Lineage: Eukaryota; Metazoa; Chordata; Amphibia; Anura; Hylidae. The transcript is spliced from 3 exons. The record is from RefSeq and is a predicted model, not a curated record.